This 508-nucleotide ribosomal RNA is filed under the name uncultured Bacteroidota bacterium. RNAcentral describes it as "bacterial SSU rRNA". It matches the Rfam family "Bacterial small subunit ribosomal RNA", at positions 903 to 1382 of the family's 1533-position model. Lineage: Bacteria; Pseudomonadati; Bacteroidota. The record is from RNAcentral.
CUAUGCGCCUUGCCAGCCCGCUCAGAAACUUAAAGGAAUUGACGGGGCCCGCACAAGCGGAGGAGCAUGUGGUUUAAUUUCGAUGAUACGCGAGGAACCUUACCUGGGCUUAAAUGCUUAAUGACGUACUGGGAAACUGGUAUUUCUUCGGACAUUUUGCAAGGUGCUGCAUGGUUGUCGUCAGCUCGUGCCGUGAGGUGUCGGGUUAAGUCCCAUAACGAGCGCAACCCCUAUUGUUAGUUGCCAUCAGGUCAUGCUGGGGACUCUAACAAAACUGCCCGCGUAAGCGUGGAGGAAGGUGGGGAUGACGUCAAAUCAGCACGGCCCUUACGUCCAGGGCUACACACGUGCUACAAUGGCCGGUACAGAGGGCAGCCACUUGGUGACAAGGAGCAAAUCUCAAAAGCCGGUCUCAGUUCGGAUCGGAGUCUGCAACUCGACUCCGUGAAGUUGGAUUCGCUAGUAAUCGUAGAUCAGCAAUGCUACGGUGAAUACGUUCCCGGGCCUU